RNAcentral lists this ribosomal RNA (2773 nucleotides) under Shigella sp. SHS-5. RNAcentral's name for it is "bacterial LSU rRNA". It matches the Rfam family "Bacterial large subunit ribosomal RNA". The record is from RNAcentral. Lineage: Bacteria; Pseudomonadati; Pseudomonadota; Gammaproteobacteria; Enterobacterales; Enterobacteriaceae.
AGCGUACACGGUGGAUGCCCUGGCAGUCAGAGGCGAUGAAGGACGUGCUAAUCUGCGAUAAGCGUCGGUAAGGUGAUAUGAACCGUUAUAACCGGCGAUUUCCGAAUGGGGAAACCCAGUGUGUUUCGACACACUAUCAUUAACUGAAUCCAUAGGUUAAUGAGGCGAACCGGGGGAACUGAAACAUCUAAGUACCCCGAGGAAAAGAAAUCAACCGAGAUUCCCCCAGUAGCGGCGAGCGAACGGGGAAGAGCCCAGAGCCUGAAUCAGUGUGUGUGUUAGUGGAAGCGUCUGGAAAGGCGCGCGAUACAGGGUGACAGCCCCGUACACAAAAAUGCACAUAUUGUGAGCUCGAUGAGUAGGGCGGGACACGUGGUAUCCUGUCUGAAUAUGGGGGGCCCAUCCUCCAAGGCUAAAUACUCCUGACUGACCGAUAGUGAACCAGUACCGUGAGGGAAAGGCGAAAAGAACCCCGGCGAGGGGAGUGAAAAAGAACCUGAAACCGUGUACGUACAAGCAGUGGGAGCACGCUUAGGCGUGUGACUGCGUACCUUUUGUAUAAUGGGUCAGCGACUUAUAUUCUGUAGCAAGGUUAACCGAAUAGGGGAGCCGAAGGGAAACCGAGUCUUAACUGGGCGUUAAGUUGCAGGGUAUAGACCCGAAACCCGGUGAUCUAGCCAUGGGCAGGUUGAAGGUUGGGUAACACUAACUGGAGGACCGAACCGACUAAUGUUGAAAAAUUAGCGGAUGACUUGUGGCUGGGGGUGAAAGGCCAAUCAAACCGGGAGAUAGCUGGUUCUCCCCGAAAGCUAUUUAGGUAGCGCCUCGUGAAUUCAUCUCCGGGGGUAGAGCACUGUUUCGGCAAGGGGGUCAUCCCGACUUACCAACCCGAUGCAAACUGCGAAUACCGGAGAAUGUUAUCACGGGAGACACACGGCGGGUGCUAACGUCCGUCGUGAAGAGGGAAACAACCCAGACCGCCAGCUAAGGUCCCAAAGUCAUGGUUAAGUGGGAAACGAUGUGGGAAGGCCCAGACAGCCAGGAUGUUGGCUUAGAAGCAGCCAUCAUUUAAAGAAAGCGUAAUAGCUCACUGGUCGAGUCGGCCUGCGCGGAAGAUGUAACGGGGCUAAACCAUGCACCGAAGCUGCGGCAGCGACGCUUAUGCGUUGUUGGGUAGGGGAGCGUUCUGUAAGCCUGCGAAGGUGUGCUGUGAGGCAUGCUGGAGGUAUCAGAAGUGCGAAUGCUGACAUAAGUAACGAUAAAGCGGGUGAAAAGCCCGCUCGCCGGAAGACCAAGGGUUCCUGUCCAACGUUAAUCGGGGCAGGGUGAGUCGACCCCUAAGGCGAGGCCGAAAGGCGUAGUCGAUGGGAAACAGGUUAAUAUUCCUGUACUUGGUGUUACUGCGAAGGGGGGACGGAGAAGGCUAUGUUGGCCGGGCGACGGUUGUCCCGGUUUAAGCGUGUAGGCUGGUUUUCCAGGCAAAUCCGGAAAAUCAAGGCUGAGGCGUGAUGACGAGGCACUACGGUGCUGAAGCAACAAAUGCCCUGCUUCCAGGAAAAGCCUCUAAGCAUCAGGUAACAUCAAAUCGUACCCCAAACCGACACAGGUGGUCAGGUAGAGAAUACCAAGGCGCUUGAGAGAACUCGGGUGAAGGAACUAGGCAAAAUGGUGCCGUAACUUCGGGAGAAGGCACGCUGAUAUGUAGGUGAAGUCCCUUGCGGAUGGAGCUGAAAUCAGUCGAAGAUACCAGCUGGCUGCAACUGUUUAUUAAAAACACAGCACUGUGCAAACACGAAAGUGGACGUAUACGGUGUGACGCCUGCCCGGUGCCGGAAGGUUAAUUGAUGGGGUCAGCGCAAGCGAAGCUCUUGAUCGAAGCCCCGGUAAACGGCGGCCGUAACUAUAACGGUCCUAAGGUAGCGAAAUUCCUUGUCGGGUAAGUUCCGACCUGCACGAAUGGCGUAAUGAUGGCCAGGCUGUCUCCACCCGAGACUCAGUGAAAUUGAACUCGCUGUGAAGAUGCAGUGUACCCGCGGCAAGACGGAAAGACCCCGUGAACCUUUACUAUAGCUUGACACUGAACAUUGAGCCUUGAUGUGUAGGAUAGGUGGGAGGCUUUGAAGUGUGGACGCCAGUCUGCAUGGAGCCGGCCUUGAAAUACCACCCUUUAAUGUUUGAUGUUCUAACGUGGACCCGUGAUCCGGGUUGCGGACAGUGUCUGGUGGGUAGUUUGACUGGGGCGGUCUCCUCCUAAAGAGUAACGGAGGAGCACGAAGGUUGGCUAAUCCUGGUCGGACAUCAGGAGGUUAGUGCAAUGGCAUAAGCCAGCUUGACUGCGAGCGUGACGGCGCGAGCAGGUGCGAAAGCAGGUCAUAGUGAUCCGGUGGUUCUGAAUGGAAGGGCCAUCGCUCAACGGAUAAAAGGUACUCCGGGGAUAACAGGCUGAUACCGCCCAAGAGUUCAUAUCGACGGCGGUGUUUGGCACCUCGAUGUCGGCUCAUCACAUCCUGGGGCUGAAGUAGGUCCCAAGGGUAUGGCUGUUCGCCAUUUAAAGUGGUACGCGAGCUGGGUUUAGAACGUCGUGAGACAGUUCGGUCCCUAUCUGCCGUGGGCGCUGGAGAACUGAGGGGGGCUGCUCCUAGUACGAGAGGACCGGAGUGGACGCAUCACUGGUGUUCGGGUUGUCAUGCCAAUGGCACUGCCCGGUAGCUAAAUGCGGAAGAGAUAAGUGCUGAAAGCAUCUAAGCACGAAACUUGCCCCGAGAUGAGUUCU